UACAGAGGGUGCGAGCGUUGUCCGGAAUCACUGGGCGUAAAGGGCGCGUAGGUGGCGACCCAAGUCGAUGGUGAAAGCUCGCCGCUCAACGGCGAGUCGGCCACCGAUACUGGGUUGCUGGAGCACUGUAGAGGCUCAUGGAAUUCCGGGUGUAGCGGUGGAAUGCGUAGAGAGUCCGGAAGAACGACCGGUGGCGAAGGCGGGUCUCUGGGCCGUUACUGGACGCUGAGGAGCGAAAGCGUGGGGAGCGAACAGG
This 256-nucleotide ribosomal RNA is filed under the name uncultured bacterium. RNAcentral's name for it is "partial 16S ribosomal RNA". It matches the Rfam family "Bacterial small subunit ribosomal RNA", at positions 524 to 776 of the family's 1533-position model. The record is from RNAcentral.